AAUCAAUGCAGGGUUUCGAACUCUUAAGACAAAUCAAGUUUGUUAAUGUUUUAUGAGAAAGGAAAUGCACAUUUAUUAGACCUCAGAAAGUAAACAGAGACCUCUGUUUGUUUUACAAGAAAAGAAAACUCCACAGGGCAUAUUUAAAUCUUCUUUACCUGUAUCACUAUGGACCUUUCUAACUUUACAUUUCAUUUUUUCCUCAGUAAUGUCAUAUAUGGUAAAAGGGGCAAAGAGUCAUAACACAAAGCCCUGUUAAACCAACAGAAGUUUCUCUGUACAUUAUUUCACUAUAAGGGUACUUGUCACAAUCUGCACCUCUGUGUGAUGUUCUGUCUGGAUUGCAUUUAGUCAUGUCCUGUUUUAUUUUAUCAGUGUCUAGCCUUAUGUGUCUGUUGGUGUUAUACUUCCUGCCUCUGUGAUUGCCUGCGCCACUCAUAUGUGUUGUACCCAAGUGGCAACCUUGGGUCGUCACCCAUUUAUUUUUGAACUGAUGUUUUGAAGCCUCGAGCUUAGCAUUUUGGCCAGCACCAUCUUGGUUCUUUGAAACCGGAGGUGAGCACAUUUGUAGGAGGGGGGGUCGGGCUCGACUGGGAGUUCGAGGCCAUCUACACCUGCAGCACCUACUUUCUGUAGCCCCAAGGCUGGUUGUUGGUUGUUUGCAACCAGUGGAGUCGCCCUCGGCUCGUCAUUCCAGAGAAUACAUGUUUCUGGCACUUCUUCAUUGGUUUCACUUUCCUGACCUCGACUGUAUGUACGUAUGUCCAUUUUUGUAUACAGUUUUUGGUUGCACCUUUGUCUCAUUACGUCCCCCCAUUUAUGUGGGGGAGGUAAUGGGAGGUAGUCUCCCCUCACUCUUUGUUCGUUCGUCUGUAUUUGUUCCAGAGAGUCGUCCCUGUAUCUGCCUGCCUGAUUAUCAACCCAUAUAUCUGAAAGCCUGGUUAUUUUCAACAUUAAUUUAAUGUUGCAACAUUUUAAUUGUAGAUUUACCUCAUGGUCAAACUGAGCUUUGAUUUCAAUGCUGAUAUCAAUACUAUUGGAAAAUCUUUGACGUUUUUGAAAAUUUGUUAGGUUGAAAACAUGCUGAUGCUUUUUGAAUGUCACUUUUAAUUGUGUUCUUCAAUGUGGAUCAGCUAUAAUUUGUGGAUUUUAAUUAUGCAUUGAUUGAAUGUGUUUUUGUCCAUGAUAAAACUGUGGUAUGACAGGGAUAAUACCAGUUUCAAUUUACCUUUAUCACGUAAAGGAAGAAAGGCAGCAUCGAGCACUUUGAUGUCUUUGACAUGGGGUUUUGAUGAUUUAAAUGCCAACAGAUGUGCAACAACCUGGACGAUCUCAUGUCAAUUAUUGUUUCAACGAGAUGGGAAGGUCAAGAUGCAGCUUCCUCUGAUCCAAAUCACAGAUCAGAGAAGAGGGAACCUGCACUUUAAAACCACAGCCCAAACAUUUUUCUACAUUCUUUGUACAUUGAUUGGAUCUUGAAUGGUAGCGCAGACAGUCAAAUAUAGACUGAAAGUUAUCAAGUGAAUCAUGAGGCCUUGUGAUUAAAGCUGCCGUCGGGUACGAGCGGCUCAGCGCUGCAGAACCUGUGCACAGCCUCACUCGCUCGUUUACGUCUUCACAACGAGGAGCUCGCAGCAGAAGCAGAGUUAGUUUGAAAACACUGUGGCAGAGAAACGCCAAGCAUCGGAAAAAACUGCCUGGCUCCUUUGCCAGAAACUGUAUAUACGAGCAAAAAUGAGCUAAAAAGGAGGAAGCAGAUCGAGCAGCUCCACAGAAGCAACGACACCGACAGGGUUCACAAACGAUGCGUUCUACUUGACCGAUGCUGACUUUGCUGGGGGGACAGCUGAGGAAGGAAUAUUCAACACAACUACUGUAUUU
Long non-coding RNA from Scophthalmus maximus (turbot), 1881 nucleotides. RefSeq lists it as uncharacterized. The record is from RefSeq and is a predicted model, not a curated record. The transcript has 3 exons. Lineage: Eukaryota; Metazoa; Chordata; Actinopteri; Pleuronectiformes; Scophthalmidae.